Molecule: non-coding RNA, 117 nt
Filed under: Thermomonospora echinospora
Lineage: Bacteria; Bacillati; Actinomycetota; Actinomycetes; Streptosporangiales; Thermomonosporaceae
Source: RNAcentral
GAAGGUCUGGCCCUUCGGAGCCGCCCUGCGGAGGAAGACUCCAAACCACCUCAUGCCGCGUUGGCUGAAGACUGUCGUGGUGAGCGAUGAGGAAAAGGCGCCGGUGAGGCGUCAGGU